This 2394-nucleotide long non-coding RNA is filed under the name Citrus sinensis (sweet orange). RNAcentral describes it as "long non-coding RNA (CSIN_LNC000479)". Lineage: Eukaryota; Viridiplantae; Streptophyta; Magnoliopsida; Sapindales; Rutaceae. The record is from RNAcentral.
GCAAGUACAGGUUCCCAGUCCUGGAACAAGAGCGAACAGACAGAGCUCAAUAGCCCCAAAAAAGCUAAAUAAAUAAACCACUUGAGGAUGUUAAUAAAUAUACAUAAUUAGGUCACAAUUCAUGAUCAGACAUGAAAUUCAUUACCUUGAAUACAACAUGUGUCUUUAAUGGGUCAAAGGUCAAAUCAUAGAGAGAAUGUGGGCAACGUAAAUUUAACAGGUAAGCUGGACAUGCUUGAGACUUACUUCUCUUUCCUUUAAGGAAUCCAUUAUUGGCCUUCCAUGAAUCCGAACAAUCAAAACUAGCAGCCAAAUGAUUCAACAACUUGUGGAUGGACCCUUUGCAUACAUACCUUGAAUUAAUAUCUGACAUUAUGAAGGUCUACAAAAAACCCGCUUCCGCUUCCGUUUGUACUUGAAGCACCCAGUCGAUGAUUCACAUCUUUCCUCGCCGCCAGAAAACAGAGCCCCACCAAGUGGCGGGCUUCCUUGUGAAAAGCAGCUUUGAUGAAGAGGCUUUUUGAUGUCCUUGCUAACCUCAAAUUCAUUGCUAAAUUCAUCCUUAUCUAAAGGUGAUGCGGUACCUGACGCUCCAUUGCUCACACCAGGUUCAAUUUGAAGGUAUUCAUACCCCCGUUGUGAAUUCAAAAGGUCACCCUCCACUGGAAUGCUGGAUCUUCCAUCAGCCAAAAAGCAAGUCUCCAAGAAAUAACUUCCUUUUAAUGAAAAUCUGUUACCAGAUGUCCAUCCAUGGAGGUCAAUCUUCCGGAGUACUGGGGAUAAGCAUUCAGCAAACGGACAAUCCAACAAUUUAGAUGAGUAUUUGGGCUGAGAAACAAGUUCCCUCUUAGAAUUUUCCUCUUCAAGUUCUGGAGUAUGUUUCUCAAACUCUCCAAAUAUGAUUCUUUCACAUUCCUCACGAAACAAAUGAUCACCCUCUUUGGAAAGAUUCUCCAAAGGAGAAGAGUAAAGGUGAGGAGAAGACUGAUGAUAUUGGAACCUGCUACUUUCUAUUGUCCAAGCAUGGCGGUCAAUCUUCCAGGGCACUAUGGGCAAGCAUUUGGCAAAUGAACCAUCCGACAACCCAAAAGAAUAUUUUGGCUGAGGAACAUACUCCAUUUCAGUAUUUUCCUCUUGAAGCUCUGCCGGAUCUUUCUCAGCAUCUCCAAAUGUGAUUCUUUCACAUUCCUUACGAAACAAAUGAUCUCCCUCUUUUUUAAGAUUCUCCAAAGGGGGAGAGAAAAGGUGGCGAGAAGGCUGAUGAUCUUGGAACCAGCUACUUUCUAUUGUCCACACUCGGUGGUCAAUCUUCGGGGGCACUAUGGGUAAGCAUUCAGCAAAUGAACCAUCCAACAAACUGGAAGAGUGUUUUGGCUGAGAAAAAAAUUCCAUCUCAGUAUUUUCUUCUGCAAGUUCUACAGGAUCUUUCUGGAACUCUUGAAAUGUGAUUCUUUCACAUUCCUUAUGAAACAUAUGAUCACGCUGUUUGGCAAGAUUCUUCAAAGGGGAAGAGUGAAGGUGAGUAGAAGACUGGUGACUUUGGAACCUGCUACUUUCUAAUGGCAGCUCAGCAUCCUCUAACAUAUCCACAUCAAAAGAAUCUAGCAACAAAAAGAAAACUUAAUAUGUCAGCACAGAGGAAUAAAAAAAAGUUUUUCUGGAGAAAUCAAUGGAAAAAUUAACUAAUGAAAAAGUUAUUCCUCUAGCAUCCACAAGAUAUUAUGCCGCAUUAAAUGAAAUAAUUCUAAUAUAAAGGGGAUGAAGAACUUGACACAGAUAGAUUUUUGACGUACAAAAGUAUGAAAGGUACCUCCAGCAGAUAUGAUGUUGUUAUGUUUAUUCAACAUUUCAUCUUUUCCAAAUUUAUUGGCUGUGCAACUCAUGGAUACUCCUGGAAAUUUCAGUCAUUAAGAAUCACUUCUUGACCCAUUAUAUGAAUGCAACAACCAUAGCAAGCAAUUUUCAUGAGAGUGAGUAUACCAUGCGCUAUUUUUUUCAUCCAUGCAGAACGGAUAGCCCGCUCAAUGAAGGCAAGUACAGGUUCCCAGUCCUGGAACAAGAGCGAACAGACAGAGCUCAAUAGCCCCAAAAAAGCUAAAUAAAUAAACCACUUGAGGAUGUUAAUAAAUAUACAUAAUUAGGUCACAAUUCAUGAUCAGACAUGAAAUUCAUUACCUUGAAUACAACAUGUGUCUUUAAUGGGUCAAAGGUCAAAUCAUAGAGAGAAUGUGGGCAACGUAAAUUUAACAGGUAAGCUGGACAUGCUUGAGACUUACUUCUCUUUCCUUUAAGGAAUCCAUUAUUGGCCUUCCAUGAAUCCGAACAAUCAAAACUAGCAGCCAAAUGAUUCAACAACUUGUGGAUGGACCCUUUGCAUACAUACCUUGAAUUAAU